UACGUAGGGGGCUAGCGUUAUCCGGAAUUACUGGGCGUAAAGGGUGCGUAGGUGGUUUCUUAAGUCAGAGGUGAAAGGCUACGGCUCAACCGUAGUAAGCCUUUGAAACUGGGGAACUUGAGUGCAGUAGAGGAGAGUGGAAUUCCUAGUGUAGCGGUGAAAUGCGUAGAUAUUAGGAGGAACACCAGUUGCGAAGGCGGCUCUCUGGACUGUAACUGACACUGAGGCACGAAAGCGUGGGGAGCAAACAGG
This 252-nucleotide ribosomal RNA is filed under the name uncultured bacterium. RNAcentral's name for it is "partial 16S ribosomal RNA". It matches the Rfam family "Bacterial small subunit ribosomal RNA", at positions 524 to 776 of the family's 1533-position model. The record is from RNAcentral.